RNAcentral lists this ribosomal RNA (467 nucleotides) under uncultured bacterium. Its description in RNAcentral is "partial 16S ribosomal RNA". It matches the Rfam family "Bacterial small subunit ribosomal RNA", at positions 28 to 506 of the family's 1533-position model. The record is from RNAcentral.
GACGAACGCUGGCGGCGUGCUUAACACAUGCAAGUCGAACGGAAAGGCCCUGCUUUUGUGGGGUGCUCGAGUGGCGAACGGGUGAGUAACACGUGAGUAACCUGCCCUUGACUUUGGGAUAACUUCAGGAAACUGGGGCUAAUACCGGAUAGGAGCUCCUGCUGCAUGGUGGGGGUUGGAAAGUUUCGGCGGUUGGGGAUGGACUCGCGGCUUAUCAGCUUGUUGGUGGGGUAGUGGCUUACCAAGGCUUUGACGGGUAGCCGGCCUGAGAGGGUGACCGGCCACAUUGGGACUGAGAUACGGCCCAGACUCCUACGGGCGGCAGCAGUGGGGAAUAUUGCACAAUGGGCGGAAGCCUGAUGCAGCAACGCCGGGUGCGGGAUGACGGCCUUCGGGUGGUAAGCCGCUUUCGCCUGUGACGAAGCGUGAGUGACGGUAAUGGGUAAAGAAGCACCGGCUAACUACGU